Molecule: ribosomal RNA, 446 nt
Filed under: uncultured bacterium
Lineage: Bacteria
Description: partial 16S ribosomal RNA
Rfam family: Bacterial small subunit ribosomal RNA
Source: RNAcentral
CCUACGGGUGGCAGCAGUCGAGAAUCAUUCACAAUGGGGGAAACCCUGAUGGUGCGACGCCGCGUGGGGGAAUGAAGGUCUUCGGAUUGUAAACCCCUGUCAUGUGGGAGCAAAUUAAAAAGAUCGUACCACAAGAGGAAGAGACGGCUAACUCUGUUCCAGCAGCCGCGGUAAUACAGAGGUCUCAAGCGUUGUUCGGAAUCACUGGGCGUAAGGCGUGCGUAGGCUGUUUCGUAAGUCGUGUGUGAAAGGCGCGGGCUCAACCCGCGGACGGCACAUGAUACUGCGAGACUAGAGUAAUGGAGGGGGAACCGGAAUUCUCGGUGUAGCAGUGAAAUGCGUAGAUAUCGAGAGGAACACUCGUGGCGAAGGCGGGUUCCUGGACAGUAACUGACGCUGAGGCACGAAGGCCAGGGGAGCGAAAGGGAUUAGAUACCCUUGUAGUC